Homo sapiens (human) is the source of this 471-nucleotide long non-coding RNA. RefSeq lists it as uncharacterized. The transcript has 3 exons. The record is from RefSeq and is a predicted model, not a curated record. Lineage: Eukaryota; Metazoa; Chordata; Mammalia; Primates; Hominidae.
CCCUAGUUUAGUAGCAAGACAAAAGAAGUUAUUUGCUAUGAGAUUAAAUAGAGAGUUUAAGCCAGAGACUAAUGCAGAACACCUACUGGAAAAGGAAAGGAAAGAGAGAGGAAGAUAAGAAUUUAUGAAAGAUCCUAAAAUAUAAACAGGAGCCCCAGCAGAUAACUUAGAAGGGUGGAAGGAAAAUUAUUUUUUCCUCCCUUACAAGGUGUUGUGGGUGGCCAAGAAAUGAGGAACAGCGUAGUGUUCAUCUACAAGGAAAUGAAGUCUCUGAACCUCAUCUUUGGACACAAUGUUCCAACCAGUUGUCUUAACCAAGUGCCUUGAAAAGAGAACAAGGUACCCUACGGGUGGUGUUGAGGCUGGUCCCCAACAUUGGUGGAAGAAGCACCUUUAUGGACCAGACAGCCAUGUACUCGGUCAGCCCCACUGCAGAUACGCCGGAAGGAGGUCCAAAAGCCGUUUUCAGGG